GUCGACGUAGUGUAGUGGUUAUCACGUCUGCUUUACACGCAGAAGGUCGCCGGUUCGAACCCGGCCGUUGACA
This 73-nucleotide transfer RNA is filed under the name Phytophthora ramorum (sudden oak death agent). RNAcentral describes it as "tRNA-Val for anticodon UAC". It matches the Rfam family "tRNA". Rfam says of the family: Transfer RNA (tRNA) molecules are approximately 80 nucleotides in length. Their secondary structure includes four short double-helical elements and three loops (D, anti-codon, and T loops). The record is from Rfam by way of RNAcentral. RNAcentral also lists the same sequence under 1 other name. Lineage: Eukaryota; Oomycota; Peronosporomycetes; Peronosporales; Peronosporaceae.